ACUAGAUUUGUGCUACCGUUAAGGGAAGGCAGUUCACAUACUUCCUGUUACUGAAGGCCUUGGCAUGACCAAUAUUUACAGAAAUGUUAUGGGUUAGACAGCACACAAUUAAACUUGUCAUAACACAACUCAUCCAAGAAAAAGAUGCGAGGAGAGAUGAGAGGAUGAUGUCAGCUGGCAGACAGAGAGGGGAGAGGAGGUGCCAGGGGGCAGGAUGUUUCUCCUCUUUCCCUAAUGAGUGUGGAGUGCUUCUCACUGGACACAGGCCAGCUCCUGCUACACACCUGGGGAAACCCGGACACGCUGCUCACCGAUAUUCUGAGCUCAGCUAAUACUGUACCUCUGUAUUAAGUCUUAACGCUCAACACCUCUCACUGGAGCCUGAACAAAGAUCUCACACAGGCCAUCUCUAAUGGACAUGCAAGGUGUUGAGGACCAAAUGAAUCCCAGCGGGAUUGGUGUCAGUACACACAGAACUUUCUAUUAAUCAUAGAAUAAUGAAAAACAUAUUACAGUACAUAUUACAGUGUGUCAAUGCUGAUAAUAAAUGUUUCUUGAGCACCAGAUCUAUGUAUAGAAUGAUUUCUGACAGCUUAUAUGACACUGAAGACUGGAAUGAUGGCUGAUAAAAAUUCAGCUUUGCCAUCACAGGAAUACAUAACAUUUUAAAAUAUGUUAAAAUAACAGUAGACCAGCUGACCAAGCAAUUAAACUAGCGUAAAGCAGCAAAGGCCCUAUCUAGGAUGGUUUACUUGUAGUAGAGUGCUUCACACUCACACAUGUAUUACUUUACAGAACAUCAUAUUUUACAAUUCAAAUAUGAGUCAUUGUUUUUCCAUAGUUCAACCAAAUAGUGUGUGUGUGUGUUUUUUUUAUCCUAAAUUACCAUUCACCAUUGGGAACUGAUCCAAUUCUACAUUAUAGUGUUAUGUGUUUUUGUAUUCUUUCUCUUUUACCCAUGCACCUGUGUGUGUGCGUGUGUUCAGAUGUACCAUAAUGAGCUUUGAUGUUCCAGCUCCACCGUCUGCUGAGAGUUUUUUUUCCCUCCAUCUAAAUAUGAGCUAGUAAAUUAUCUACUAUUCUCAUUGGAACAUCUCCCAUUAAAUCAGCUAACAUUGUAAUCUUUGUAUGUUUGUGUGUGUGUGUGUUUUCUCACACUCCUUCGCUGUCAUAUAGAGAGGAUACCCCACUAAUCAUACUCCCCCGAUCUCACAACCUCCCUAAAAAACACACAGACGUGCACACUCUCCCAGUAACACAAGGUG
This is a long non-coding RNA of Cyprinus carpio carpio, 1265 nucleotides long. NCBI's taxonomy places the organism in Eukaryota, Metazoa, Chordata, Actinopteri, Cypriniformes, Cyprinidae. The record is from Ensembl.